Molecule: transfer RNA, 76 nt
Filed under: Rickettsiales bacterium
Lineage: Bacteria; Pseudomonadati; Pseudomonadota; Alphaproteobacteria; Rickettsiales
Description: tRNA-Thr
Rfam family: tRNA
About the family: Transfer RNA (tRNA) molecules are approximately 80 nucleotides in length.
Source: RNAcentral
GCCGGUUUAGCCCAGUUGGUAGAGCAUCUGAUUUGUAAUCAGAGGGUCGGGGGUUCAAGUCCCUCAACCGGCACCA